CAGCGAACAUUUGUAAGCGACACGAAAUAAUUGAGGUGAAAAGCUUGCCAAGAAGCUGUGUACACAGUGUUCUUGCGAGUUACAAUUACGCGUCCGGUUUGGCGGCAACUUCAAAGAGUGGACAUAUGGUUGCUCCUUCAGGUAGCUAUAAUUACCCUCUCUAUAAUGCAAUAUCGUAUUAUCCAUUUGUAAUGAAUGAUAGUAACACUUAAUCGGAUUGGAUUCAGUUAAAUCUACAUUUCUCAAGGUCUCUAACAUCGAGAUUUGAAAUAUCUUUCAUGUAAAUACCUUCUUUGUCAUGUGACUUGUAUAUAAUCAUGUAUAUUCAGAAUCGUACCUUCGCACAAUGUCUUUGCACAAUGGCACAAGCAACGUGUUCUCUUUCUGUAAAAAAUAGCACUCUUUAUUUCAGCCACAGCAAAGAUCCCGAACCACGUGCAGUCAGCAGAGUUACAGCGUCUGGUUACCGUCUUGCAGUUACGAUACAGAAUAUGUGCACAUAGCUUUCAAUGACCAGACGCAAAAAAGGAUUCAUUUCAAGUAUGUUGAGAAGAAAACGACCCAUCACUGAAAAAAUCAUCUCACCCAAGAAAUGAGAAUGAAAAGUGCAAAGUCUCCCAAGGAAUUGUCUUGUAAUAAAGCAUGUGAAUAAAUAAUUUUUUGAAAUA
Long non-coding RNA from Haliotis rufescens (red abalone), 668 nucleotides. RefSeq lists it as uncharacterized. The record is from RefSeq and is a predicted model, not a curated record. The transcript is spliced from 3 exons. NCBI's taxonomy places the organism in Eukaryota, Metazoa, Mollusca, Gastropoda, Lepetellida, Haliotidae.